GACGAACGCUGGCGGCGCGCUUAAUACAUGCAAGUCGAACGAGAAGCCAGAGCUUGCUCUGGUGGAAAGUGGCGAACGGGUGAGUAACACGUGAGAAACCUGCCCAAAGAUUGGGAUAAGCCUUGGAAACGAGGUCUAAUACCAAAUACCUUCUUUUUAACACAUGUUAAAAAGAAGAAAUGCUCCGGCGCUUUGGGAUGGUCUCGCGAUCUAUCAGCUUGUUGGUGAGGUAACGGCUCACCAAGGCAUCGACGGAUAGCUGGUCUGAGAGGAUGUCCAGCCACAUUGGAACUGAGACACGGUACCAAACUACC
RNAcentral lists this ribosomal RNA (314 nucleotides) under uncultured bacterium. RNAcentral's name for it is "bacterial SSU rRNA". It matches the Rfam family "Bacterial small subunit ribosomal RNA", at positions 28 to 340 of the family's 1533-position model. The record is from RNAcentral.